UUUCCUUCCCCUGUUGCUGCUUCUAAGCUGUAUUCAGAAGUUUUUUUGCUGAAGGGACCUUGUUGCUGCUUUGGAUGUCUGCAAGCACAGGAAAUCCGUCAUGUGAUUUGAGUUAGACAGGAAAUGCUUUUCGUCACUGGUCAGUUUCAUGAUGCCGUGAACAGAAGCGCUUCUGCUCCAAGUGAUUUAUCAACGGGCUGGGAUGGAAGCAUACAGUUCUUGUUUAGUCCACCUAAAAACUCAAGAAUGUGAAUACUACAGUACAGUUACCUUAAUUACUGUAACGUGCCUACAUUUUCAGGCUGCCUUCCAUCAUAUUACCCUCUGUGCUUCAAAAAUUUAUUUUGUGUACUUCGUAUUUAAUACACAGAAUGAGCACUUUUUUUGUUUUAAAUUGCAGAAAGAUACAUGCGAUAUUUCCCUGACAACAGCUGAGAAUUGUAAGAACAAGGAAUUGUGAUUUCCAGAAUGCUUGGCAAAGGUGCAUGUGCCAGAGUGAACUGCGUAUGAAAAGGCCAUGCUUUUUGUGUUUAUUUUCCUCUGGCUAAAGGAAAAAAGUGCAAACACUUUGUCACAUUUGCAUUGAUGUAAUGUAUGGUCAGUCUUUUCUGUGUGCUUCAAAAAGUUCUCUCAAGAAAUACAAAUCUUGUAGUGGGAUUUUAUAAAUACUGUACUUGUAUGUUCUGUCUAUGUAAUAGCCAGUCAGUGGUAGUAAAGGAGUUGGACUGCAGCCCCCUGCAGUAUCCUUGGGAUUUUCGAGAAACAAAAUCCAAUGUCUGGUACUACAGCGCCAAAUCUGGAUGGCAGACUGUGACCACUGAAAGUGAUAGGUGAAUUUGGUCUUGGACUCCGGGUCUUCAAUAGCCUCAGUUAUUGUUACGGUAAUGAGGUAACCGAAUAUGGGUAUUUCUUAGGUGCUAAAGUAAAAGGUCUGAUCCUGCUUUCCUGUAUGCCUUUAUACAUUAGAAACAGCUCUUUAUUUCUUCAAGGUAAAGGACUGCAUUGAAAAUGUCAGUAAAACCAAUGUGGAAAACACAGAAGCUUUGUUAGGCUGAAAGAAUACACAAUGAGAGUAUAAUGGAGAAAGGUUUGGAAUACCGUUGUCUGUGUACUACAAAGAUUACUGAGUUAUUCCUGUCCUGAGACAGUAACUCCUUAAAGCACAAACUUGUAUGAAUGUGGUUACUGCUUCUGAUGGAUUAGGUAGAGACAGUGUGCUUCUCUGGACACAGAGUGUGGUUAAUCAGCAGUCUGGCUAGUCCCUCUACAGGUAAUGGAGAGCUGGUUCCCUGCUCUCACAGCUGAAAAGAAUUACAUAUAUAGGGGAGAGCAAAGUCAAGACCGUCGUUGUGAAAGCGAACGCUAUGAAUUUUUCCCUUGAAUGUGUGUAUCUUACUUGCACAGCUCUGAGUGAUAGAAUGAAACAAGUGAUUAUUUUCUCCUAAAAAUGUAAUCUAUAUUCUACUAUUCACCUUUACAUGGUCUUGCUCUUUAGAAAAUAAGCCUAUUUUUCUAAGUCAGUAUUUCUUCUAAAGGCUGAGAUUAGUCUUUUUCAUACUCUGAUUCUGAUCAUUCCACAAAGAAGAUGGUAGAAACCUGAUGUUAUUUUUUCAUAGAGGAUUAAUUAGAUGUGUGGCUAUCCUUAAACUUUGCUCAGUGGCCCCUGGAUGUAUAUGUAGUGCAUAUUCUGAAGCACUAAAGGUCAUUGUGUUUUGUUAUCGUAAUUAACGGUUGUCAGAACAUUUUCUGAAGUUGUUUUUUUGUGGGUUGUCUUGUUUGUUUGUUUGUUUGUUUGUUUUUGUAUCUUGCACCUCCAUUCUUAUUCACUUGUUACUACAUGUAAAAAGAAUCUUUUAUAGUCAGGCAUUCAGUGCAUAGUAAGAUUAAAUGUUGAAAGUUGACACACAGCAAUAUUGAUUAUUCUGUAUGUUUCGUGCGUUAAAUUUCUUGUCCCUGUGGGACAAUUAUAACAUAAACAUAACAGGAGUCUUGCAAAACAGCCUCAAGAGAAUUAGUGGCUCAGUAAAGGGAGAGUACCAAAAUGUUCUCAGCAAACUUGUUCUGAACCUCAAGUACAGUACAUCUGCAAUGCUGUGCAAGAAUAAAACUUUUCUUGGUUGUUAGAUGUAUGUUUUGUUCUGUAGAAAGGGAUCCCUGAAUGCUGACAUUUUUCUACUGACCUUGACUGUCAUUGGGAUUAUAUUUAUUUAAUUUUAUUGUGUUAUUAAUUGCACCUUGUGGACAGAGGACGUAAACGUGGUCAGUUUCACAAGGGGCCACCAUUUAUAGAUAGCCUGACGGUUUUUGUGUGAAUAAUAUUUACAUUUGAAACAGCUGUUGAAGAAAUCCUAUAUCCAAAUCAGCAGAAAGCAGACCUCCUGAAAAUGUUUUUAGAAAGAAAAUAACAAUUCUUACAGAUUUUGAACAUAGCUUUGGAACAGAGCAUGAAUUGCUUUAAAACAUGUACUUUCUCAGAAGGUCUGUGUAAUUCCACAUUGCUGUUGUGUGUGAGUUUUUAAUCUCCUUGCUUGUGAGGUUUCUGUGUCCAAAGGCAAGUCGCUUUUCCCCCAUUGUUCUCUCUGUUCUGCUCUGCUCCUUUACAUCUGUAUGAUCUGGUGGAGGUGAGUGGAGUUGCAUAGCUGUGACUCAGCACGUCUUCUUCUGACAGUGUGACGGUCCUCCCAACCCAAAAAAAAAACCAAAUAAAACACGAAUCCUCUUUCUCUUCAUCACAUUUCAUUGCCCCCUCCAAGGUCACCUCCACAAGACAUCUAAAACUCCUAGUAGUGGGAAAGCUAGGGAAAAGACUGUUUUGUGGACACCGAUGUCAAUACUGUAUGCAUGUGGAAACCUCUUCAAAAGAGAAAAGCAUUAAGAAGUAUAGAGGCACAAUGAUGCAUUUUUGUCCUCUCUGUGAUCAGUAUUGAAAACAUUACCAUUUAUUUAAAAAUAAAAAGGUAUUUUCCCUCCUCAGUUACUCUGCUAUGCAAACAUCUGUUAUGCUUAAUAUUCCCCAUCUGAACUCGUCAGUUAACUUGGUUUGCAGAUAGACUUUUUCCUGGAGUGGGUUGUAAAUAGCCUUUAAUGUACAUUGAAUGAAUUUCACAUUGUAAAAUUUUUAUUUUAUUCCUUGUAUUAUAUUAAGUGAAAAUCCCUGUGUAUAUGAAAGUGCAUAAUAAAUAUAUUUGCUUUUCAGCAG
Gallus gallus (chicken) is the source of this 3199-nucleotide long non-coding RNA. The record is from Ensembl. Lineage: Eukaryota; Metazoa; Chordata; Aves; Galliformes; Phasianidae.